This 1349-nucleotide ribosomal RNA is filed under the name uncultured bacterium. RNAcentral describes it as "bacterial SSU rRNA". It matches the Rfam family "Bacterial small subunit ribosomal RNA", at positions 28 to 1381 of the family's 1533-position model. The record is from RNAcentral.
GACGAACGCUGGCGGCGUGCUUAACACAUGCAAGUCGAACGCUGAAGCCCCGCCUUGCUGGUGUGCACGAGUGGCGAACGGGUGAGUAAUACGUGAGUAACCUGCCCUUGACUCUGGGAUAACCCCGGGAAACUGGGUCUAAUACUGGAUGCUACCUGUCGCCGCAUGGUGGUGUGUGGAAAGGGUUUACUGGUCUUGAAUGGCCCCACGGCUCUAUCACCUUGUUGGUGAGGUAAUGGGCUCACCAAGGCUACAACGGGUAGCCGGCCUGAAAGGGUGACCGGCCACUCUGGAACUGAAACACGGCCCAAACUCCUACGGGAGGCAGCAGUGGGGAAUAUUGCACAAUGGGCGAAAGCCUGAUGCUACGCCGCCGCGUGAGGGAUGACGGCCUUCGGGUUGUAAACCUCUUUCACCAGGGAAGAAGCCACAAUUGACGGUACCUGCAAAGAAACCGCCGGCUAACUACUUGCCAGAAGCCGCGGUAUUCCGUAGGGCCCAACCGUUGUCCGAAAUUAUGGGCCGUAAAGAGCUCGUAGGCGGUUUGUCGCGUCUGCUGUGAAAGCCCGGGGCUUACCCCCAGGUGUGCAGUGGGUACGGGCAGACUAUAGUGCAGUAGGGGAGACUGGAAUUCCUGGUGUAGCGGUGGAAUGCGCAGAUAUCAGGAGGAACACCGAUGGCGAAGGCAGGUCUCUGGGCUGUUCCUGACGCUGAGGAGCGAAAGCAUGGGGAGCGAACAGGAUUAGAUACCCUGGUAGUCCAUGCCGUAAACGUUGGGCACUAGGUGUGGGGGACAUUCCACGUUUUCCGCGCCGUAGCUAACGCAUUAAGUGCCCCGCCUGGGGAGUACGGCCGCAAGGCUAAAACUCAAAGGAAUUGACGGGGGCCCGCACAAGCGGCGGAGCAUGCGGAUUAAUUCGAUGCAACGCGAAGAACCUUACCAAGGCUUGACAUAUACCGGAUCGUUCCAGAGAUGGUUCUUCCCCUUUGGGGUCGGUAUACAGGUGGUGCAUGGUUGUCGUCAGCUCGUGUCGUGAGAUGUUGGGUUAAGUCCCGCAACGAGCGCAACCCUCGUUCCAUGUUGCCAGCACGUGAUGGUGGGGACUCAUGGGAGACUGCCGGGGUCAACUCGGAGGAAGGUGGGGAUGACGUCAAAUCAUCAUGCCCCUUAUGUCUUGGGCUUCACGCAUGCUACAAUGGCCGGUACAAAGGGUUGCGAUCCUGUGAGGUGGAGCUAAUCCCAAAAAGCCGGUCUCAGUUCGGAUUGAGGUCUGCAACUCGACCUCAUGAAGUCGGAGUCGCUAGUAAUCGCAGAUCAGCAACGCUGCGGUGAAUACGUUCCCGGGCCU